Molecule: ribosomal RNA, 252 nt
Filed under: uncultured bacterium
Lineage: Bacteria
Description: partial 16S ribosomal RNA
Rfam family: Bacterial small subunit ribosomal RNA
Source: RNAcentral
UACGUAGGGUGCGAGCGUUAAUCGGAAUUACUGGGCGUAAAGCGCGCGCAGGCGGCUAUGUAAGUCUGAUGUUAAAGCCCGAGGCUCAACCUCGGUUCGCAUUGGAAACUGUGUAGCUUGAGUGCAGAAGAGGAAAGCGGUAUUCCACGUGUAGCGGUGAAAUGCGUAGUGAUGUGGAGGAACACCAGUGGCGAAGGCGGCUUUCUGGUCUGUAACUGACGCUGAGGCGCGAAAGCGUGGGGAGCAAACAGG